CCUGGCUUCGACGUGGGUUACAAAACCGGAGGUGCAUGUCGAGGAGCGAAUCACCUCGUAAAUCCAAUCGCACAUUAUAUAGUUGCCAACGACGACAACUACGCACUAGCAGCUUAAUUUAAGCAUGCUUAUCUGGGACUGCCAUGCUUGUGCGGCGUGUCCCAGAGCACAGCUCACAAGCUCGUGGAGAAGCACGUCUCGGGCCGAUCCAUUAAAACCUUAAGAGAAUCGUCAAUUUUUGGCCUGUCCGUCGGCCAUUAAACGACUAAACCUAAAGACGUGACUAAGCAUGUAGGACCAAAGGCAGAGGAUUUGCGGACGCGGGUUCGAUCA
Molecule: transfer-messenger RNA, 333 nt
Filed under: Gammaproteobacteria bacterium
Lineage: Bacteria; Pseudomonadati; Pseudomonadota; Gammaproteobacteria
Rfam family: transfer-messenger RNA
About the family: Bacterial tmRNA, also known as 10Sa RNA or SsrA, is named for its dual tRNA and mRNA-like properties. Its role is to liberate the mRNA from a stalled ribosome. To accomplish this part of the tmRNA is used as a reading frame that ends in a translation stop signal.
Source: RNAcentral